GAAACUCUGAAAAAUUGUGUUUUAAAUUAUUCUAUGCAAGGCGAAAAAAGUAUGAAAUAUUUUACAUAAAACAUCCUUAAAUAAUUUAUCCAUGAUUGUUUCUGGGGGGCCUGUUUUCCAUGUAACUCCCAGAAUGGUAGGGAAAGGCAAGGCAUUCUCAUGUGGUCUUGAGGAAAGAGUCCAGAAAACCAGUGCAAGUACUGCCGUUUGGGAGUCAGCAGAUAGGAAGCACGUUGGAAGGCACCAGUAACAUCUGCUCACUUAGGAGGCCAGGGCCACUCCUCACAAAAUUCACUCAAGGUACAUGGACUCUGUACACUUUCCCCUACCUUUUAAGUAGGCUUCAAACCCAUGGGCACUACAUUCAAAACCUGUGAAGAUUCGAAGAGAUAGAAGCCAGGAUUAGAACCACAAAGACCAAAAGAUGACAUAGUAAAUUGUCUUUUUUCUCUCUCUCUCUCUCUCUCACAUUUCUGACUCAAGGGUAAUAAAACUAGCAACCUGAAAAUAGAUGCAAAAUUUCCAUGCCAAUAAACCUACUCUCUUUCUCCAAAGGACCAUGAAAGGCAUUUUAUAGUGAGACAGAAAAAACAUUAGACAGUAAUUUAUCUACUAUAACCAAAUAUCAUGGGAAGGGGUGCUGUGGUCUUAUGCCUCCUGGUGCUGGCAAAGUCUAAGUAGAAAGCCUAGGCUUUCAUCCACUUGAUAAUUUAAAGAAGCAGUCAAUGACCAGCAUUUGAGUAGUGCCACAAAGACCUCAUAGAUGACUGGUGGCUUUGAUUUCUGCAGGGUAGCAAUGAGUGCUCCCCUUUCCUCAGCCCUGAGGUGGAAGCAGAAAUCUUGUGGAUAACAGGAAAUUCCUCUUGCUCCAAGCCUUUAUCAAGGCAUCCAUUCCCAUUCAUGAAUUUCUAAAUUUUAUUUAUUUGUUUGUUUAUUUGUUUAUUUUAUUUAUUUAUUUUACUUAUUCACUUUUCAUCGCACUCACUGCUCACCUCCUGGUUACUCUCUCUCAUAAUCUUUCCCCCAUCCUUCUCCCCUUCUCCUCUGAGCAGGUGCCCCCACCUUCUCCUGUAUUACCUCUACCCUGGCACCUCGAAUUUCUGUGAGGCUAGGCACUUCCUCUCCUACUGAGGCCAUACAAAGCAGCCCAGCUAGAAGACAUAUCCCACUUACAGGCAGCUGCUUUUGGGAGAGCCCCCGCUACAGUUGUUCGGGACCCACAUGAAGACCAAGCUGCACAUCUGCUACACAUGUGCAGGGCGGCCUAAGUGCAGCCCAAGUAUGAUCUUUGGUUGGUGUUUCAGACUCUGAGAGUCCCAAGGGUCCAGGUUAGCUGACUUUGUUGGUCUUUCUGUGGUGUUCCUAUCUCCUUCAGUCCCUCAAUCCUCCCUGCCAACUCUCCCAUAAGAGUCUCCAAGCUCCAUCCAAUGUUUGGCUGUGGGUGUCUGCAUCUGUUGGAUCAGCUGCUUGGUGGAGCCUCCUAGAGGACAACUUGCUUCUGUCUGCAACCAUAACCAUCAUUAAUAAUGUUAGGGAUUGCUGCUUGCCAAUGGGAUGGGUCUCAAGUUGGGAUGAUUCUUAGUUGGCCAUUCCUUCAGUCUCUGCUCCAUCCUCCAUGCCUGCACUUCUUGUAGACAGGAUAAUUUGGGGGUUGAAGGUUUUGUGGGUGGGUUGGUGUCUCUAUUGCUCCACUGGGGUUCCUGCCUUCACAUUCCAUAUUCCCAAUGCAGUGAGUCACAACUAAGGCCACCCCAUUGAUUUUUGGGUGCUUCUCUUAUUCAAGGUCUCUGUCUUGUGGAUAGCUGGCCAUGAAAAUUAAUGGAAAUCAUGACUUCUUUUAAUUAAUAUUUUGCUUUGUUUUAUGUAUAUGGGUAUUUUGUCUACAUGUGUGUCUGUGACCACAUGCAUGCCUGGUGCCAUAAAUUCCAGAAGAGGGCAUCAAAUCUUCUUCAACUGGAACAAUACAUUUGGAGCUGCCUUGUGGGUGCUGGGAAUCUAACCUGUGUCCUCUGGGAAAAAAAAAGCCAGUGUUCUUAAAUGCUGAGCCACAUCUCUAGCCCCAAUUUUUAAAACUCUUAGAAAUGAAGAUAAAAUUAACUUGAUAAAGCAUAUCUACAAAACAAUUUACAGUUAAUGUUGUAUUUAAUAAUGAAUGACUGUAUAAAUUCAUUCUAAUUUCAGAAAAAGGUAACUGUGCUAUUCUCAUUAGAUUUAUUCAAGAGAAAUAAUAGUAUUCAAGACAAUAUAUAGUAACAUUUCAGUGAAAGGCAAGAAAAAUGAGGAAGAUACCUAUUUAAAAGAAUGAAAUAAAAACCAUCACAUUUAAAUAUAAGAUUGUUUUAUGAAUAGAGAAUACCAGGGAAUGUAUUCAUGUAUAAGAAGUAAAAUACAUGAGUUCAUUAAAAUGAUGAUAUAUACCAUGAAUAUUAGACAGGAAUCCCAUUCCUACUUCCUAGAGCAAACAGACACCAAGACUGGAAGUUUAAUCACAUUCCAUAGUCACAUUACCUUUGAUUCUGGGUUUCUGGACUUCAGAACUUUGAAAGAAUGGUUUUCUCUUACUAAGUUAUUAAGGUUUUGGUAAUUCUUUUUGGAAUCUCCAAGAAAAUAAUACAGUGCGUCCUAACAAAGGGACAAAAUAUAAUAUAUAUAUUUAUAUAUGAAGGAUGGCAUGAGUUCUCAGAAGGCAUGAUAUAGACUUUAUUUUGAAAAAUUAAUAAAACCCAUAUUAAAAAUGGAUAAUUUAAGAUUACCCAGAUUAGCUAUAUUAUACAUCUCUUAAAAUCAGAGACUGUUACCAGGAGAGUCCAUUGAGGUGAUGCCCCAAGGUGAUGAAAAGCAACAGUAAAAUAGAGGGGUUUCCUCACCCUGUACCUUCAUCCCCAGAAAACCUCUCUUCAAAUUAAAAAC
This 2910-nucleotide long non-coding RNA is filed under the name Mus musculus (house mouse). RNAcentral's name for it is "long non-coding RNA chr15:11245147-11248057". The record is from RNAcentral. Lineage: Eukaryota; Metazoa; Chordata; Mammalia; Rodentia; Muridae.